RNAcentral lists this transfer RNA (75 nucleotides) under Acidobacteriota bacterium. RNAcentral describes it as "Acidobacteria bacterium (activated sludge metagenome) tRNA-Gln". It matches the Rfam family "tRNA". Rfam says of the family: Transfer RNA (tRNA) molecules are approximately 80 nucleotides in length. Their secondary structure includes four short double-helical elements and three loops (D, anti-codon, and T loops). Further hydrogen bonds mediate the characteristic L-shaped molecular structure. tRNAs have two regions of fundamental functional importance: the anti-codon, which is responsible for specific mRNA codon recognition, and the 3' end, to which the tRNAs corresponding amino acid is attached (by aminoacyl-tRNA synthetases). tRNAs cope with the degeneracy of the genetic code in two manners: having more than one tRNA (with a specific anti-codon) for a particular amino acid; and 'wobble' base-pairing, i.e. permitting non-standard base-pairing at the 3rd anti-codon position. The record is from RNAcentral. RNAcentral also lists the same sequence under 3 other names. Lineage: Bacteria; Pseudomonadati; Acidobacteriota.
UGGGGCGUCGCCAAGCGGUAAGGCACGAGACUUUGGAUCUCGCAUUCGGAGGUUCGAAUCCUCCCGCCCCAACCA